UGGGCCCUACGGGAGGCAGCAGUGAGGAAUAUUGGUCAAUGGCCGAGAGGCUGAGCCAGCCAAGUCGCGUGAGGGAUGACGGCCCUACGGGUUGUAAACCUCUUUUGUCGGGGAGCAAGACCCGCCUCGUGCAGGCGGAGCGAGAGUACCCGAAGAAAAAGCAUCGGCAAACUCCGUGCCAGCAGCCGCGGGAAUACGGAGGAUGCGAGCGUUAUCCGGAUUUUUUGGGUUUAAAGGGUGCGCAGGCGGACCAUCAAGUCAGCGGUAAAAUCCGGGGGCCCGACCCCAUCCCGCCGUUGAAACUG
Molecule: ribosomal RNA, 305 nt
Filed under: uncultured bacterium
Lineage: Bacteria
Description: bacterial SSU rRNA
Rfam family: Bacterial small subunit ribosomal RNA
Source: RNAcentral